This 145-nucleotide non-coding RNA is filed under the name Otolemur garnettii (small-eared galago). Lineage: Eukaryota; Metazoa; Chordata; Mammalia; Primates; Galagidae. The record is from Rfam by way of RNAcentral.
GCCAGGCGCUGUGGCGGGCACCUGUACUCCCAGCUACUUGGGAGGCUGAGGCAGGAGAUUCGCUUGAGCCCAGGAGUUGGAGGUUGCUGUGAGCUGUGACUCUACGGCACUCUACCCAGGGCAACAUAGUGAGAUUCUGUCUCAA